Molecule: long non-coding RNA, 1389 nt
Filed under: Homo sapiens (human)
Lineage: Eukaryota; Metazoa; Chordata; Mammalia; Primates; Hominidae
Description: long intergenic non-protein coding RNA 1140
Source: RNAcentral
UGGAAGAGUCUGCUGGCGGGAAGGGAGAAGAGUGGGAGGAGGAAAUAAGCAACAGGCAGCUUCCUUUCUUGACAGAUGGAAAAUAAAGGGCCUGUGCACAGCUCGGCGAACUGCUCCGUGGACCUCCCAGCGGGGCUGCUUUCUGAGGUGAUGGUCUCCUCGCUCCUUAGCCAGCCUGGUGGAGCCAGCUACUGACGUUGGAAAGGAGUUGGAGGAUGGAGCACCAGAUACUGCUACACCAUCUCAUCGGCAUGGACCUAUAUGUGGCAGCAAGUCCAUCUCAUCGCUUUUGGUGAAAGUCAGUCCAGUUUGUAAAGAUUCUCAUUGCCUUGGAAAGUGUUCCAGGAAUGGACUUUCUGCAGUAUGAUGACCUGCAAAAGCAGCCCUUCCAUUUACAUUUCAAACUCCAAGUCAGCCGUGUCAAAGUUUGAACCAGAACUGUGGAGGAUAAUGGGUCAGAUGCAAUUAGCAGCCCAGAGAACCACACGUUGCAGUCUGAUUUAUUUUUUUGCCCAUCAGAUUCCAAGAAUCCUAGUGCUUAAAAGCAACUAAACAAUCGCUCUAUUGUACUGAAAUAAAGCCCGGUUAAUUCAGAAAUCAAUUGCACCACCAGGUGGGGCACACUCUGGCCCCAAACAGAUGGGGUUGAAAACUCCCCUCAAAAUGCAGUCUUGUUAAAUUAAAAACUUGAUCCAGGAGUGGAACAAAUAGGGAGCCAUGAAUGGAAUGGAGUCAGGUCCACUCAGGCGGAUUCUUUCUUCUCCCACUCCUUUUCCUUUAAAAAAGAAAAAUUCCCCAUUUCACUUUCAUCAGUGUUAGCAUCUAUGCAGAAACGCAGCCAUCCACCCUUUGCAGUUGAAUGUGUUACUUUAAUUAGUCUGAAAAUUAAAGGGCAACUCCGGGCCAAUGUGAAUGAUUAUGAAAAUACAUGUGCAUCCCAUGCAAUCUUCUCAUUUAAUUAAUAGUCUUGUAAACUAUAUGGCUCACUUUAAGUCAGUCAAGAGGUAUAACAACUCCAUUUUAAAUAUCCACUUAAUACUUAACAGGAUGUGAGGAACACACUAUAGCAUACGGUCCCUUCUCAAGUUUCACUGUCUGAAAUUUUUCAAAGCUGACCCAAGUCAACCUGAAAAAUGUUUAACACCCUGGGCUUGAACACAAGAAACUCUGUGAUGAACAGACAUUCAAUUACAUUUUUUAAAAGUGAGAAGCAUUUUUGUAAAAUAGCGACUCUGGAAACUAAUUGGCAGCCGCAAAACUUGUGAGCAAAGGCCAAAUCUUGUGGGGAACUUUUACUACAGUAACACGACUCAAAGAAAAUGUGAAUAAAAGGCAUCUUUGUUUCCCAGUCAAAUUAGCUGAUUAAGAAAUAAAACAUCUUAACAUGUU